RNAcentral lists this ribosomal RNA (705 nucleotides) under Triticum aestivum (bread wheat). RNAcentral's name for it is "partial small subunit ribosomal RNA". The record is from RNAcentral. Lineage: Eukaryota; Viridiplantae; Streptophyta; Magnoliopsida; Poales; Poaceae.
CUGCGUGUAAACUUGGCAAAAUCUUUGGCCAUUCCUAUCGUCUGUGGCGACAUAGACCUCGCUGCGGUCCUAAUCAACUUUGGAGGGAUUACAGCAGCGCUGCCCACUACAUACCUUCAUCCAAUCACCAUCGGCAAAGUUAGGCUAGUCCACCUUCAAUUCAUCUUAGAUAGGAUCCGCGCAAGACUUGCAAGAUGGAAGGGGAGACUGAUGCACAUCGCAGGCAUGAGGGUGUUGGUGCGGUGCGUCCUCUCGGCCAUGCCCACUUUCGCCAUGAUGGCCCUGCAGGCGCCAAAGAAGUUCUUCAAGGACAUCAACAAGGCAAGGCGACGGUUCAUCUGGGUGCAAGACGAGGAGGUGACCAGAGGGAAGUGCAAGGUGCUCUAUAGGCUGGUCACCACGCUGGAGCGCACGGGUGGGCUUGGCAUCCACGACCUAGAAAAAUUCGCAAGGGUGUUGCGGCUUUGGUGGCUCUGGCUAUCCUGGAUGCAGCCAGUAUACCCUUGGGUUGGGACGGGUGAGGGAGUCCCGGAUUCGGGGUCCCUCAUGUGUCCGGCCCAGGAGUAUGGGCCGGGGUGGAUGGACUGUACAAGACCAAACUUAAGAUUAUUCUCCGUGUCCGGAUGGGACUUCUCCAUACAUAAACGGCAAUAUCAGAGUCCGGGUGUUUCCUUCCCUUAUGAACCGACCUUGUACAAACCCUAG